Long non-coding RNA from Oryza brachyantha (malo sina), 1683 nucleotides. RefSeq lists it as uncharacterized. The transcript is spliced from 10 exons. Lineage: Eukaryota; Viridiplantae; Streptophyta; Magnoliopsida; Poales; Poaceae. The record is from RefSeq and is a predicted model, not a curated record.
AUCCAGGUUAUUGCUGAGCGUCUUUCAGAAGAAGAGAUUGUUGGGUUAAGAGAAAUGUUCAAGGCAAUUGACACCCAAAACAGAGGCAUGGUUACAUCUGGUGAGCUUAAAUGACUCAGAAGAUACAGCUCAGUGUUCAAGGAUACUGAAUUUUGCGACCUAAUGGAUGCAAUUCCUAAGUGGGCCAAGAUAUCAGGGAGCUGAUGCCGGAUGGUGUGGACUCCAUUUGCUCCAUAAAAGCACAACAUGUUCUUCUUUGCAGCGUCAUACUAAUAUUAAAUAUUGUCCCAUGUUUGUUAUUCAAGUCUGCGUGAACUACUCAUAAUAGUUGCCAUAUACAACUUAAUGAGAUAUGGCGUAACAAAGACAACUGUUAUUAGGUAAUGGACAUAUUUAUUGGUACCUUCCUGCACAGCAAGGCAACAUGACCUAUAAUGGAGGUUGUUUCUUCUCUGAACGAGGGGAGGGAAUGCAAAUCAGCAACCACUUGAUCUUUCCGAUCUUUGUUUCCACUUUUUAAUGUUGUCAGGUGGUAUAUGGUGAGGCAUUGUUAUUUAUCUCUAUUUCAAUCAUCCAGGCCUUCUGCCGCACUUAUUUUAAUGGGCUUAUAUAGAGUUAUGUAUCGACUAUCCGUCUUCUAAAACUGAAUUGCUAGCUGUGAGUUUUCAGUUAUGGGCUUGCAUAGUUUUCAGUUAGAGUCCCAAAGCAUUUGCUGCCAAAAAUAAGGAUGAUUUCAUACAUCCCCUAUGGAGUGACAGCAAAAUAAAUGUGGCUUUUACUAUCCUGACGAUUCAUCCCAAACUGACGUUUCGCUGGCUGGAUUGGGCGCUCCCCGCAGCCGCUCGGGUUCCGCUACCAUAGAGCAGGUUCCACAAAUUUUCUAGCUGUCAAGAUGGACAGGCCAGGGCAAAUAAAUUCAACACACAACAAGCACAUCGUGGCCAAUUCCUCAUUGGAAGGGUUAGCCUCCUAGAUGCCAUCAAAUUUGUCUGUUUGGGCCAAACCUGUCGUUAUGGUUGUCUUGCUGUUCCACAUGAAGCCACUAAGCACCAGUGUAUGUAUAAUGACGAUUCCUCCCUCAUCGUAACCAAAACUGCACUCUCAAACUUUGAGGCAGCACUGGACUAUAGGAAUGUCCCAGAUCUAGCAGUCAUGCUUUCUUUCCCUAUUGUUGGUGGUGUGGAUAAUGCAGCUCUUGUUGCAUGGACUACAACUCCCUGGACAUUUCCGAGCAACCUAGCAUUGUGUGUCAAUGCCAAUCUUGUGUAUGCCAAGGCCUUCAAAUAUACGACUAAUAUUGAACUCUCCAGCUAGGUUGAUGAACACGUCAUCGGAGCUACAAUAGAUUCCCUUGCUGUCUAGCAAGCUGAAAGCUGUGACAAAACAACAUAAGAAAACGGAAAAGCUUUUAAGUGUAGAGAUUAUUAAAGGUAGGAGGUCUAUAUCCCCUUCCCUAGGUUCCUGUCUUGUAGCUCAAGAUCUAUGUUUUUCAUAAUGAUACCAGAUGUCUAGGUACUGUUAGACAGUCUCUCAUAAUCUAGGAUAUGAACUUCACUAUUUAUUUCUACAUCUUUAUAUUGAUAAUAACAAUGAUUAUUUUCUACUAGGUGUUCAAAGCAUUUACACUGUAUUGGCAUAUGUGUCAGUGUGCAGGGCAUUUCUAGUAUGUACAUACCUAGUAGA